Molecule: long non-coding RNA, 1258 nt
Filed under: Eutrema salsugineum
Lineage: Eukaryota; Viridiplantae; Streptophyta; Magnoliopsida; Brassicales; Brassicaceae
Description: long non-coding RNA (ESAL_LNC001294)
Source: RNAcentral
AAAAAUUUUCUUUCUGACAUCCUCAUUUUAUUGCUUUAGAUACUUACUUUUCUUUUUUUUCCCAUUUCAAAUUUCAAACCACCAACUUUAUCUUCUUUCUCUUUUUAUUCCUCUCUUCUCUCCCACCGUGGUUAAAAAUCUCCCACCACCGACAAAAUCUUCGUCGCCACUUCAAAAUCCAUAAACACCAUGACUAAAUCCCUCACCGCCGAGACGAUUUCAGAAGCUGCCGCGACGAAACCCCUCGCACUCUCUAUUUAUAGCUUUUCCACCCCAAGCUCACUUUCUGGACAGGUUUUCUCCACAUCUUCGAUUCGUUAUUCUUUGUACAUUGUUUCUUAUUCGUGUUUCGCAUCUACAAAGUUUUUCUUCAGGUCCCUUAGAUCUAAAUGCCACUUUUGUUUAUCAGAUUUACGUUUUCACAUAUAUUUGCUCUAUAGUAGUGUUAAACCUUCCAUUUCGAGUUAGUUUUAUACCCGUCCACUUUAUGUUACAGAAGUUCUAUUCAAUUUCGGCAUAAAUCAGACCCAAGAAAUAUGUUAAAAUUUUGACUAUUAAUAGUUGUUUACUUUUUGUCAAAUCUCUGUGUACCUAUUUUUCUAUUAAUAGUUGUCUACCUCUCGUUUCGUUUUCAGAAUGGCCAACAUUCCUCUAGCUACAGAUGCAUCCCCUAUUGAACCUCUACGUGUAUCGUUGAAUCAUGUGCUUCUAAAUUUAUUGCGGUCAACUUAGAUGUUAGUUGUUUUCUAUUAAUAGUUGUCUACUUUAUCUUUGUUCAGAUCGCUUAAUAGUAGUCUACUUUAAUAGUUGUCUACGUUAUCUUUGUUUUCUGCUAAAAGUUGUCUUAUAUUUGUCUACUAAUAGUUGUCUACUUUAUUAGUAUAUACAGAAUGGCAAACAAUGUAUCUCUCCAGCUUCAGAUGUAUUGAUCGAUGUCUUUGUAAGAGUAGAGAGAGAAUCUGCGGACUUCAGCUGUUAGACCGUUCAUUCCCCGAAUGCGGUUGGAAACACCACUUGAAGUGUUGUGAGCAUUGCUACCUGUUCACUCAUUACCAAAUUGUGAGGAAAUGUUCUUGCACCUUAGUUAUCUGCCAUAGUAAACUACCUAUGUGUAGAUGACUAUGUUAUGUAUUCUUGUUAUGAACCUUUUUUUGUAGUCAACUACUAUUUAAUUAUGAACAUUUUGUUUCGCAUUUGUAGCGUACAAUUUUAUCUGUAUAUUAAUUGCUAUAUACUUAUUAAUUGUAGUUGAAAUUUU